Molecule: ribosomal RNA, 203 nt
Filed under: uncultured bacterium
Lineage: Bacteria
Description: partial 16S ribosomal RNA
Rfam family: Bacterial small subunit ribosomal RNA
Source: RNAcentral
AUUGAAGGCUGAAAUUCGCCUUCAUGAAGCUGGAAUUGCUAGUAAUGGCAGGUCAGCAUACUGCCGUGAAUACGUUCCCGGGCCUUGUACACACCGCCCGUCACACCAUGAGAGUUGGAAAUACCCGAAGCCUGUGAGCUAACUUAAAGAGGCAGCAGUCGAAGGUAGAGCCAAUGAUUGGGGUGAAGUCGUAACAAGGUAAC